This 254-nucleotide long non-coding RNA is filed under the name Gallus gallus (chicken). Lineage: Eukaryota; Metazoa; Chordata; Aves; Galliformes; Phasianidae. The record is from RNAcentral.
AAACAGGGGAAGAACUGACAAUAGCAUCCCUUCUCCUUGCUAUCUCUUGCUGAUCUCAUCUUUCAACUUCACUAGAGCUGAUUUCACAGAGGAGAAAUCUGAUAGCCAAAACAUCAGAGGCAGAUAUUGGUGGUAUGUCAGUAGAGGCUGAACCUGACCAACAGUACUCCAUUCCAUGUUGUUGCUGUGUGACAGAUGGCAGCAGAGGGGCCUGACAAAAUGGCGUCUGACAUGGAAAUGUGUGCAAAGCAAAG